GGGUCGAAAGAGAGAAAGAGCUGGACACGAGAGGUGUUAAGUUGCAAAGACAGAAACCACAGGACUUGACAAGGAGUCGAGGAAGACUGGGAAGAUAGACGUUAUGCUUUCGAUAUUAAUGGGAACGUUAGGAAGAGGGGAGGGGUGGGCGUGGGAGGUUUGCUGAAAUUGAGAAGUCCGCGGGACACCCAGUUUCAGAGGUCUAGAAGGCAGCUGGAGGUCGGGACUGGAUAAACAGAUCUGGGAGUCGUUUACACGGAAAUGACCCCUGAGCGAGGGGAGGGCAAGCACAGAACACAACCUGGGGGCCGUAGCUGGCCCAGCUGCCGGAAGAGCAAGCGUCAGGGGCGGACAGCCAGGACAGUCGCGACGGUCCGGCCUUCACCGGGCCCAGCAGCCCACCCCCCAGGCACUUGCCCGGAGACUAGACUCGAGGAGCGAUAGGACGAACUCCUCCCCCAACGCCAAAAACUGGGCCAAGCCAAAUGAAUUUCUGCCCAGAGGCUGCUGGGGGCGACCCCACCCCUUCCGGUGCCUCAACCAGUACGACGCUCACUAUUGGUGAAAAGGACCGGAGGAGGCGGAGCCGCCGGGGAAUUCGAACGCAGGGAGGGAUCAGCUCUGUGGAAAAGGAGUUGGGUUGGGUGGGGGGGGGCGGAGUGGUGAUAACGGCGGAGCGGAAGCCUGAGAGAUGGCGGUAGCGGCUGCUGCUACAGGUGCUACACGUAGCCACCUGAGCAAAGGCAGAAUCAGCCGACGCCCCGCUGUGGCAAGAGUACGUGUGGCUGUGAGGCUUAGGCCCUUUGUGGAAGAGACUGGCAGCACCAGUGAGAGUUCCUGUGUCCGGGGCCUGGACAGCUGCUCUUUGGAAAUUGCCAACGGGAGAAACAGUCAGGAGACGCUCAAAUACCAGUUUGAUGCCUUUUAUGGGGAAACAAGCACCCAGCAGGACAUCUAUGCUGGCUUUGUCCAGCCCAUCCUUCGCCACUUGAUGAAUGGACAGAAUGCCAGUGUGCUUGCCUAUGGUCCAACAGGCGCAGGGAAGACAUACACAAUGCUAGGCAGCCCAGAGCAGCCUGGAAUUAUCCCUCGGGCCCUCAAAGACCUCUUGCAGCUAACCUGGGAGGAGGGUGCUGAAGGGCGACCCUGGGCCAUUACUGUCUACAUGUCUUAUUUGGAAAUCUACCAAGAGAAGGUGUUGGACCUGCUUGCCCCAGCUUCAGGGGACCUAGUGAUCAGAGAAGAUCGGUGGGGGAACAUUCUGAUCCCUGGGCUCACCCAAAAACCCAUUGCUUCCUUCACUGACUUUGAGCAACACUUCCUGCCAGCCAGCAGAAACCGGACUGUGGGAGCCACUCGGCUCAACCAGCGCUCCUCUCGAAGCCAUGCUGUGCUCCUGGUCAAAGUGGAACAGCGGGAGCGAAUGGCCCCAUUCCGGCAGCGAGAGGGGAAGCUCUAUCUGAUUGACCUGGCUGGUUCAGAGGACAAUCGACGUACAGGGAACCAGGGCUUGCGGCUGAAGGAGAGUGGAGCCAUCAAUGCCUCCCUCUUUGUACUGGGCAAAGUGGUCGAUGCAUUGAACCAGGGUCUGCCUCGUGUUCCCUACAGAGACAGCAAGCUCACCCGACUGCUGCAGGACUCCCUUGGAGGAUCAGCCCACAGUGUGCUCAUUGCUAAUAUUGCUCCAGAGAGGCGCUUCUACCUCGAUACAGUCACAUCACUCAACUUCGCCUCCAGAUCCAAAGAAGUGAUUAACCGGCCAUUCACCCAUAAGAGUUUUCAACCUCUGGGUGAGAGAGUGAAGUUGGCCCAAAAGGAAUCGCUGGACCCUCCAGAAGCAAAGAGGGUCAGAAGCCAGGACGAAUUGGAGGAUGGGACAAGUAGCCCAGAACCCCCACCUAGCUGUCCCAAACGCAGCCCCCUGAAACAACUAAACACUCUAGAACCAGCUGUGCAAGAGCGCCUGCUAAACCUGGAUCGAAUUCUAGACGCCCGAGGGAGCCAAGGAACUUCAAUCUUGAGUACACCAAGAAGAGAGCGGACAGCUUUAGAAAAGGCUUUGAAAGAAAAGGACUCAGAGAUUCAGAGGCUGAAGGAAAAGUAUAAAGAGCUGGAGGCCAACAGACUGAGUCAGAGGCACAAGGAAUUGGAGGAAGAGAAUGGCUCCCUGGCCCCACCCUGUCCCUUUCCCUCCCAAACAGUACCCAACAUCAAACCCCUGAAUAGGGUUGUACCCUUUCAGCUAAUUCAGGAGCAGACAACAUCCCAAAGCAAGACCCAGGUCCUGCAGAAAGAAAACCGGAAGAGAAAGCCCGAGCCGCUCCGCGGGCAGCAGGAGGAGCAGGCUGAGGGGCUCCGCACCACCCUGGCGCUGCUGCAGGUGCCCCCAGACCUCCUGGCCGAGAGCCGCAGGAAGAUCCUGGGCUUGCUGAACACGGGCUCGGCCAAGGAGCUUCGCAGGCUGCAGCGCAUUGGGGAGAAGAAAGCCCAGCUCAUCGUGGGCUGGCGGGAGCUGCACGGCCCCUUUGCGGAGGUGGAGGACCUGGGGCUGGUGGAGGGCAUCUCCGACAAGCAGGUGGCCACCUUCCUGAAGGCCAACAUCUUGAGUUUCGCCGCCGAGUGCUUCAGCGCCUUGCCCCGGAGGGACGCCUGAGUGCCGCCGGCCGCCCAGGAGCCCCGGCAUUCUGGUCACGCCCAGAAUCCCCUGCAGGUUGGGGCUGAGCUUCAGUCCCGGUUCUUUGCAUCCCAGGGCUGCAACCAGAGUCCAUUCCAGGCUGCCCCAGCCCCCCCACCGACUCCUCAGGCCCCAUCUGCUG
Molecule: RNA transcript, 2816 nt
Organism: Dromiciops gliroides (monito del monte)
Lineage: Eukaryota; Metazoa; Chordata; Mammalia; Microbiotheria; Microbiotheriidae
Gene: KIF22
Gene name: kinesin family member 22
Exons: 16
Source: RefSeq, a predicted model, not a curated record